RNAcentral lists this ribosomal RNA (460 nucleotides) under uncultured bacterium. RNAcentral's name for it is "partial 16S ribosomal RNA". It matches the Rfam family "Bacterial small subunit ribosomal RNA", at positions 338 to 795 of the family's 1533-position model. The record is from RNAcentral.
CCUACGGGUGGCAGCAGUGAGGAAUAUUGGUCAAUGGGCGUAAGCCUGAACCAGCCAAGUCGCGUGAGGGAUGAAGGUUCUAUGGAUCGUAAACCUCUUUUAUAAGGGAAUAAAGUGCGGGACUUGUCCCGUUUUGUAUGUACCUUAUGAAUAAGGAUCGGCUAACUCCGUGCCAGCAGCACCGGUAAUCCGGUGGAUCCGGGCGUUAACUGGAUUUUUUGGGUUUAAAGGGGGCGUAGGCGGCCUUUUAAUCCAGCGGGGAAAGUCUGUGGCGCAACCAUAGAAUCGCCGUUGAAACUGGGGGGCUUGAGGAUGUUUGAGGCAGGCGGAAUGCGUGGUGUAGCGGUGAAAUGCUGAGAUAUCACGCAGAACCCCGAUUGCGAAGGCAGCCUGCCAAGCCAUGACUGACGCUGAUGCACGAAAGCGUGGGGAUCGAACAGGAUUAGAUACCCCAGUAGUC